Non-coding RNA from Lemur catta (Ring-tailed lemur), 461 nucleotides. NCBI's taxonomy places the organism in Eukaryota, Metazoa, Chordata, Mammalia, Primates, Lemuridae. The record is from the annotation of a RefSeq genome assembly.
GACAGGAGCCCUAGCCCCGGCAUUCCCAGGUGUCCCGGUUCGGUGAUCAGGACUGAACACAGACACUCACCAUGGAGUCUGGGCUCAGCUGGGUUUUCCUUGUUGCUCUGUUACAAGGUGUCCAGUGUGAGGUGCAGCUGGUGGAGUCUGGGGGAGGCUUGGUCCAGCCUGGGGGGUCCCUGAGACUCUCCUGUGCAGCCUCCGGAUUCACCUUUAGCAGCUACUGGAUGUAUUGGAUCCGCCAGGCUCCAGGGAAGGGGCUGGAGUGGGUCUCAUACAUUAAUGGUAACGGUGGUAGCACAAGCUACGCAGACGCUGUGAAGGGCCGAUUCACCAUCUCCAGAGACAACGCCAAGAACACGCUGUCUCUGCAAAUGAACAGUCUGAGAGCCGAGGACACGGCCCUGUACUACUGUGCGAGAGACACAGUGAGGGGACAUCAGUGUGAGCCCAGACACAAA